This is a long non-coding RNA of Diprion similis, 425 nucleotides long. RefSeq lists it as uncharacterized. The transcript has 3 exons. The record is from RefSeq and is a predicted model, not a curated record. NCBI's taxonomy places the organism in Eukaryota, Metazoa, Arthropoda, Insecta, Hymenoptera, Diprionidae.
AGUGGAUAGCUGCAGGUAGGUAGAUACGCGCAAUUCCGGGCGGAAGUCACGAGUCCACAUAGUUGCACACUGCGGUACGCCACUUGAUUUAAACAUGUCAGUAGGGAGCUGCCAUCGAGUAUUCCUAAAUCGGCUUCAGGUAGUAUUCGCAUACAAAACGACUCGGUUCUACCUCCCUUGACGGUGUAGCCCUGACGAUGAGAGCACGCAGGCAAGAUGCAGCGAGAACAGCUCGAUUCCUCGAGUCCUUUACUCGAGUUUCUUUUGCGGAUCAUGGCGCAGCGUCGGAUGUCCACGAUAUCGCGAUUCACCAGGGGUAACCUGAGUUUCCCUCAACUCCAACUGCGGAGCAUUCUGUUGCUGCUCCAGGUGUGCAGGUGCUUCCGGUUUACGGGCGGGUAUAACGUGCAGAUGAGCUUUAGGUA